This 280-nucleotide ribosomal RNA is filed under the name Clostridioides difficile. RNAcentral's name for it is "partial 23S ribosomal RNA". It matches the Rfam family "Bacterial large subunit ribosomal RNA", at positions 647 to 925 of the family's 2925-position model. The record is from RNAcentral. Lineage: Bacteria; Bacillati; Bacillota; Clostridia; Peptostreptococcales; Peptostreptococcaceae.
UAAGCACUUAAGGUGCGGAGCCGUAGCGAAAGCGAGUUUUAACUGAGCGUUCAGUUACUGGACGUAGACCCGAAACCGGGCGACCUACCCAUGAGCAGGAUGAAGCGAAAGUAAAAUUUCGUGGAGGGCCGAACCCACGAGCGUUGAAAAGCGCGGGGAUGACUUGUGGGUAGCGGUGAAAUUCCAAUCGAGCCCGGAGAUAGCUGGUUCUCCCCGAAAUAGCUUUAGGGCUAGCCUCAAGGUGAGAGAUACGGAGGUAGAGCACUGAAUGUCCUAGGGG